UGGCAUCACCCCGAGAAAGGUUAAGUGGACCCACCCUCUGGCACACAGCUAAGUACAAGUUGUUGAGAAAAUGUUUGCAGCAAGGGGACAUAUGAUCUGGUUCUUCAGCAGCAUCACUGUCCCAACCAUUGGCCCCUCGUGCCCCAGAGCCCACCUCCCAGCCCUUCGCAGCCAAGUUCAGCGUCAGGAUCCCCUGCCUGCUUCUGUGUGGGUGUCCACGGAGCUGUAAUGUCUCUGGAAAAUGGGAUCCAUACGCAGACAUUGCCUGGAAGCCAAACAGCCUUCCUGAUGGGUAUUCCCCACGGGAUAACGUCCCCAAUCCAGUGACAAAGUUUCAACAGAACUGAGCGGCCGUCUGGGUGUGUUUCAGGGACGGGCCUGUCCCUCUGCAGCAGUUGGAGGCCUCGGCGUCCAUGGAGGCAAUGUCUCUGGGGGUGCCAAGGAGGCCUAUCGCUGUGUUUGAGGUUGGAAAGUUCUAGAAGCCCUAUGUAAGCAGCACACAAGAAGAGCAUCGCCAAGCUCUACUGUGGAAACCUCGGGUUUCUGGAGCAACUGGUGGGCUCUGUGUGACCCUGAGGAUUACGUAACCAAGAAAGUUCUCGUCUGCGCCGGAGCUCAGAGUGAAACCCGAGGCCCAGUUAGAGCUCCUGAGUCAGUCCUCCCAGAGAUGAAAAGACGUGCACGCCCGUAACAGGACCGAGUGGAUGAAGCUCAUGAACCACGCACGAUUGGGGCAUCCGUGCACCCGUGUCGCGGCACUGCUGCCGUCGGAAGGGGACGUCCACCCCAGGCACGUCCUGAGAAGGGGACGUCCACCCCAGGCACGUCCUGAGACAGGAGCACAGCUCCAUCUGGGGGAGGCCCGAACGGGAUGAACAUUUUGUCCGGGCAGCCGGAGGAGCUGGCUUGUGCAGGGGCUGGCUUCCUAAAAAGGGGCCGACAGCUCCUGUUCCCAGUGGGUAGCUUUGCCUCUCAGAAGAAUCUGGAGAAGGCAGUGUUAUGAGGCAAUGGUCUAGCUCUUCCCUGACUUCCCCGGGGACGCCCACACAAAGCCGGAGAGGAAAUAACCCUCGAGUCAUAGGAUGCAGUGGGUUUGGGUGUGACACUGGUGUGGGUUCAAAUCCCACCUCUGAGGAUCUUCAGAGAAAGUCCAGGCUUACAGCAAAUGAGCCGCCCUGCCAGGCCUCUGCCCAAUGAGCCGUAACAGAGAAGCUUCUCGAUCCAGAAGCUUCCACUCUGAUGGGGUUUGAUGGAACCUGAAGACUCGUAAACCACAGGAAGUCUCCCGAGGACAAAGGCCUCAUUUCCAAUGAGGACAGCUGGAGAUUUGGCAGAGGGACGCACCCCGCAGGCCACAGAUCGCUGGAGCCACAGUCUGGAGGCAGCUUCAUGCUGCACCCUGGCUUCCCACACGGGGGGACGCUGGAGCUUGGGGCAAGGCGGGUCCAAGAUGCACCUUCCCGUCGGCACCCUGGGAGCCAAGGGCCACCGUCCCCGUGAAUGGGAUCAAGCAGGAAGACGACCCAGGGAGCAGCCGUGGAGCUCCUAUGUCACCUGUGGAUGGUGAAGUCCUUCUAGAACCACUGGGCUCUGCGGAGCUCAGAGAGCCCCACUCCCACCCUGUAAGCUCCGUCAUGGGCUGCCAGCCGGGGGACCACCUAUUCCUUCCUUCCUUCCAAGUAAAGGGGGCGCCUGGGGGGGCUCAGCUGUUGAGAACCUGCCUUGGGCCCAGGGCGUGACCCCGAGGU
Canis lupus familiaris (dog) is the source of this 1748-nucleotide long non-coding RNA. RefSeq lists it as uncharacterized. NCBI's taxonomy places the organism in Eukaryota, Metazoa, Chordata, Mammalia, Carnivora, Canidae. The record is from RefSeq and is a predicted model, not a curated record. The transcript is spliced from 4 exons.